RNAcentral lists this ribosomal RNA (468 nucleotides) under uncultured bacterium. Its description in RNAcentral is "partial 16S ribosomal RNA". It matches the Rfam family "Bacterial small subunit ribosomal RNA", at positions 28 to 507 of the family's 1533-position model. The record is from RNAcentral.
GACGAACGCUGGCGGCGUGCUUAACACAUGCAAGUCGAACGGAAAGGCCCUGCUUUUGUGGGGUGCUCGAGUGGCGAACGGGUGAGUAACACGUGAGUAACCUGCCCUUGACUUUGGGAUAACUUCAGGAAACUGGGGCUAAUACCGGAUAGGAGCUCCUGCUGCAUGGUGGGGGUUGGAAAGUUUCGGCGGUUGGGGAUGGGCUCGCGGCUUAUCAGCUUGUUGGUGGGGUAGUGGCUUACCAAGGCUUUGACGGGUAGCCGGCCUGAGAGGGUGACCGGCCACAUUGGGACUGAGAUACGGCCCAGACUCCUACGGGAGGCAGCAGUGGGGAAUAUUGCACAAUGGGCGGAAGCCUGAUGCAGCAACGCCGCGUGCGGGAUGACGGCCUUCGGGUUGUAAACCGCUUUCGCCUGUGACGAAGCGUGAGUGACGGUAAUGGGUAAAGAAGCACCGGCUAACUAUGUG